Long non-coding RNA from Xenopus laevis (African clawed frog), 1316 nucleotides. RefSeq lists it as uncharacterized. The record is from RefSeq and is a predicted model, not a curated record. The transcript has 2 exons. Lineage: Eukaryota; Metazoa; Chordata; Amphibia; Anura; Pipidae.
UAGUAGCUGUUCCAAUCUGGAGGUAGGUGCAGAGAAAGCCUGACCCCCAGACACAAGUGCUUUUUUUUUUAAAUUCAGCACUAAGGGGCACACUUUAAUGCUGUAGCCCUUGCAUUUGGGGUCAUCGUUAAUUACCCUUUUUGUCUGAAACCCACUGUUAACAUUACUUCAGUGUUCUGAACCCCUAGCAACAAGCCAAGGCAAACAACUCUAUGGUCUUUUUAAAACAAAGAUGCAACUGAAACUUUUAAAAAUUUGAAGACAGUGGCUUUUGGUUGCCGGUUGGUAUUGGGUGCUUCAGAACAGGUUAGGGUUGGUCUCGAGCACCAAGGAACUUAUAAAGUUUUGUUUUUUUAAACUGUAAACAUGGGGCAAAGAUGAGGUGUUUCCUAGAGAGUAGAAUGCAUGAUUCUUAUCAUUAACGAGCUCACAGGAAGUCUCCAACUGUCACUUGAUCAAACUGCCUGAUUGCGACACUUUGCUUCCUUCACAAAGUGAAUAGUUCCACCCAGGGCUGGCCACACGCUCAUUCCUCUGGGACUCGGCCAGAGAAAGAAACACAAAGCACAUUCUCACAGAGGAAAUUUUUACAAACCAAAGGGGACGGAUAUCUCUCUACACAAGUCUACAGUGGAACUGAAGAGAGAGGGAGAGGAGGCGUCUGGCAUUUUUAUAGCAUUUGCUGCUUAUUUUCUUCCCUAUCAGCCCUUGUUGGGUUUACUUGGAAUUGAAGUGAGGAAAGAAGCUAAACUCCCAGUUUGGGAUGGCUGACUGUCAGUGUGUUCUCUGGUGCAUCUUCUGGGUUUUGGUCCUCUUCUUCCUUGGCUGGCCAAUAAGCAUUUUCCUUGGCGGCCUGUAUGGGUUUCUGGCUCCUCUCACCACCUGCAUAGGACUGGACAAGUUCACAGAUCUUUUGCUCCAAGGAGUCAACCUGGGCAGGACCUGUGCUGAAAAUGCCCGUACAGGCAAAUCAUUGUGCUAGGGGAAGGAGAUGGACUCUCAGUAACCUAAUCAUAAGCCUCAUCUCAAGCCAAGAAAACCUUCCAGCCUCUGUCUGUUUUUUUGUUUCUACAGGGCACAGGCCCUACCCAACUGGGAAGCCACUAGGUUAAUCCAACACAAUGAAGGUGCUGUUAUCUCUCAAGCUUCUUCUUUAGAAGGAGCAAAACUCCAACAGGAAGAUUGUUUUUCAGGCAGUUAUUAAUUGGCUUGUUAUAUGUCAUGUGUCAGUUCUGGCACAUUUUAUAUCAUGGCAUGUAUUAUAACUAGUUUGUACUCAUAUAUGGAAUAAAAAAAAUCAGAUGUUUCAUUACCAA